Eurytemora carolleeae is the source of this 346-nucleotide long non-coding RNA. RefSeq lists it as uncharacterized. The record is from RefSeq and is a predicted model, not a curated record. The transcript has 3 exons. Lineage: Eukaryota; Metazoa; Arthropoda; Copepoda; Calanoida; Temoridae.
UGAGAAAUGAGACAAAGAAUCCUUCAAAUGAAAUAAGACAGCCGACAUGUUCCCUAGUAUAGCUGUAAGGGUGGAGGAGUUCCAAACCUUCAGGAAGAAAUAAAUAUGUCCUCUUAAACACUAGUAUAGCUGUAAGGGUGGAGAAGUUCCAAACCUUCAGGCAGAAAUAAAUAUGUCCUCUUAAACACUAGUAUAGCUGUAAGGGUGGAGAAGUUCCAAACCUUCAGGCAGAAAUAAAUAUAUCCUCUUAAACACUUCAGAACAGAAAGGAUGGAUGCGGAGAACAGGGUUGUGUUGAACUGUGGAGGUAUCAGACAUGAAGUAUACAAGGCAACCUUGAAGAAGA